This 391-nucleotide ribosomal RNA is filed under the name uncultured bacterium. Its description in RNAcentral is "bacterial SSU rRNA". It matches the Rfam family "Bacterial small subunit ribosomal RNA", at positions 28 to 420 of the family's 1533-position model. The record is from RNAcentral.
GACGAACGCUGGCGGCGUGCUUAACACAUGCAAGUCGAGCGGUAAGGCCCUUUCGGGGGUACACGAGCGGCGAACGGGUGAGUAACACGUGGGUGACCUGCCCUCAGCUCUGGGAUAAGCCUGGGAAACUGGGUCUAAUACCGGAUAUGACUCCAUGACGCAUGUUGGUGGGGUGGAAAGCCUUGUGCGGCUGAGGAUGGGCCCGCGGCCUAUCAGCUUGUUGGUGGGGUGANGGCCUACCAAGGCGACGACGGGUAGCCGGCCUGAGAGGGCGACCGGCCACACUGGGACUGAGACACGGCCCAGACUCCUACGGGAGGCAGCAGUGGGAAUCUUGCGCAAUGGGCGAAAGCCUGACGCAGCGACGCCGCGUGAGGGAUGACGGCCUCGG